GAAAACGUACAGUUCAACAAAUCACGGUAUACGCCGCCAUUUUGUUGGGCAGGCAAAACAUUGCGAGGCGCGGCUACCAAGCCCCAUACAUUUACUGUAAAAUUUCGACCCGUGACUCAGGUGCAAGCCACAUUUCCUUAAUUUUCUUCCUGUCAGAUGAAUCUCUGGUCUUCAAAUUUUCAGAAAUUUUAGCCAAGAAUAAACACCAGAAAUGGAAAGAUGGUAUCAUUUUUCAAAGCCUCCCGACAUAUGUAAAUGAUGUGGACGGGUAUUCUGAAGUUGCUCCGCCCCAGGAUUAAGCGCCCAAGUACGAAAUUCAAGGUGCAAGUAAUGUGAGUGAUGUUGGUGAGACCUGGAGUUAGAAGCUCCCCCACAGCAUGCUUGAUGCACAUUGAGGUUAAACUUCUUGCCAUUCCCUCUGGUGGGGACCUGAAGAAAUAAGCGUUAAAGGUGUUUUUGCACCUUUUUACAACAGAAGAAAUGGCUGCUGGAAUUCUUCAGCCAGCAGGGGAAAAAGCAACGGGGAAGGAAGUGCUGGACCCCCACAGGACAAGUCUUUGAAGAAGAGCCAUAACAGAAAAGUUUGGAGAGGUUCCAUUCUAGAAGAAGUGGGGCCAGAUAUGGCAGUCUUUAAACCAAAAGUGUUUAGAUUC
This is a long non-coding RNA of Stylophora pistillata, 653 nucleotides long. The record is from RefSeq and is a predicted model, not a curated record. Lineage: Eukaryota; Metazoa; Cnidaria; Anthozoa; Scleractinia; Pocilloporidae.